GACGAACCGUGCGAACGUUGUUCGGAAUCACUGGGCUUAAAGGGCGCGUAGGCGGGGCGGCAAGUCCGGGGUGAAAGCCCCCAGCUCAACUGGGGAAGAGCCUUGGAAACUGCCGGUCUCGAGGGAGGUAGGGGUCUGUGGAACUUCGGGUGGAGCGGUGAAAUGCGUUGAUAUCCGAAGGAACGCCGGUGGCGAAAGCGACGGACUGGACCUCUUCUGACGCUGAGGCGCGAAAGCCAGGGGAGCAAACGGG
Molecule: ribosomal RNA, 253 nt
Filed under: uncultured bacterium
Lineage: Bacteria
Description: partial 16S ribosomal RNA
Rfam family: Bacterial small subunit ribosomal RNA
Source: RNAcentral